AGAGUUUGAUCAUGGCUCAGAGCGAACGCUGGCGGCAGGCCUAACACAUGCAAGUCGAACGGAUCCUUCGGGAUUAGUGGCGGACGGGUGAGUAACACGUGGGAACGUGCCCUUUGGUUCGGAACAACUCAGGGAAACUUGAGCUAAUACCGGAUGUGCCCUUCGGGGGAAAGAUUUAUCGCCAUUGGAGCGGCCCGCGUCUGAUUAGCUAGUUGGUGAGGUAAAGGCUCACCAAGGCGACGAUCAGUAGCUGGUCUGAGAGGAUGAUCAGCCACACUGGGACUGAGACACGGCCCAGACUCCUACGGGAGGCAGCAGUGGGGAAUCUUGCGCAAUGGGGGAAACCCUGACGCAGCCAUGCCGCGUGAAUGAUGAAGGUCUUAGGAUUGUAAAAUUCUUUCAGCAGGGACGAUAAUGACGGUACCUGCAGAAGAAGCCCCGGCUAACUUCGUGCCAGCAGCCGCGGUAAUACGAAGGGGGCUAGCGUUGCUCGGAAUUACUGGGCGUAAAAGGGCGCGUAGGCGGGUCGCUAAGUUGGGGGUGAAAGCCCAGGGCUCAACCCUGGAAUUGCCUUCAAUACUGGCGGCCUUGAGUAUGAGAGAGGUGUGUGGAACUCCGAGUGUAGAGGUGAAACUCGUAGAUAUUCGGAAGAACACCAGUGGCGAAGGCGACACACUGGCUCAUUACUGACGCUGAGGCGCGAAAGCGUGGGGAGCAAACAGGAUUAGAUACCCUAGUAGUCC
RNAcentral lists this ribosomal RNA (743 nucleotides) under uncultured bacterium. RNAcentral's name for it is "bacterial SSU rRNA". It matches the Rfam family "Bacterial small subunit ribosomal RNA", at positions 8 to 796 of the family's 1533-position model. The record is from RNAcentral.